This 2417-nucleotide long non-coding RNA is filed under the name Sus scrofa (pig). RNAcentral's name for it is "lncRNA (ENSSSCG00025029235.1)". The record is from RNAcentral. Lineage: Eukaryota; Metazoa; Chordata; Mammalia; Artiodactyla; Suidae.
GCUCCUGAAUUUACUGCUACUUAAACUGAGGCUGGUCUGUAGGCACUCAGGUGCCCUCUGUGCAUGUUCAGAAGUUCCCUCCUGUAGACUAGAAUGCUCAGCCCACCACUGAACACUGACCUGCAGCUCCUACUGCUCAGGACACUGAAUGGGGAGGAAUAACCACUGAUUAGUUUUAAGCUGUUCUUCCACAGACUCUUUAACAGAAACUGGAAAUAAAAUUGAUAGAGGAAUUCCUUUUGUUCAUUCCUCAGCAGUAAUGAACCCAACUAGAAUCCAUGAGGAUGAAUUCUUGGCCUUGCUCAGUGGGUUAAGGAUCUGGCAUUGCUGUGAGCUGUGGUGUAGGUUAUAGAUGUGGCUUGGAUCCCGCAUUGCUAUGGCUGUGGCCUAGGUCGGCAGCUAUGUAGCUCCAAUUCGAUCUCUAGUCUGGGAACUUGCAUAUGCCGCAGGUGUAGCCCUUAAAAAAAAAAAGUUGAUGGAAAAUAAAGCUUCUUAAAAAUAGAAGGAAAACAGUAGUAAAGCAUGAAUUAAUGAAAUAGAAAACAAACAUUAAAAAAAGAAACAAAGCCGAAAGUUCAUUUUGGGGAAAGAACAAAAUUGAUAAUCCCCUAGCAAAACUAAUCAAGGAAGAGAGAGAAGUACCAUUUGUCAAUGUAAGGAACGCAAGAGUGGUCAUCAGCACAGAUCUAUAGCCAUUACAGGUAUAAUAUAAAGAUAUAAGUAGUAAUUUUACAAGUUUGAAAAAUCUGGAGUUCCCUCUGUGGCACAACAGGGUCAACAAUAUCUCUGCAGUGCCAGGAUGCAGGUUCAAUCUGGCACAGUGGGUUAAAGGAUCCAGCACUGCCAUAGCUGUGGCAUAGAUUGCAACUGUGGUUCAGACGUGAUCCCUGGCCUGGGAACUCCAAGAUGGGGGGGAAAAAAAAAACACAAAUUGAAAAUUUAUUCAAAAUUAACACAAUAAGGAAUAUGACAUCUGAAUAGCUCUGAGUCUAUUAAGGAAAUUAUCUAUAAAUUUAAAUUUUUCUUAUAAAGCAUAUUCCAAGUCAGAUAUGUCAGUGGAGACAUAUCUUCCAGACAUUAAAGGAAGAAAUAGUUUUAAUCUUUUUUUUUUUUUUUUUUUUAGGGCCAUACCUGUGGCAUAUAGAGGUUCCUGGGCUAGGGGUCAAUCAGAGCUGUAGUUGCUGGCCUACACCACAGCCACAGCAACGCCAGAUCUGAGCCAUGUCUGCAACCUACACUACAGCUCACGGCAACGACGGAUCAUUAACCCACUGAUUGAGGCCAGGGAUUGAACCUGCAACCUCAUGGUUCCUAGUCAGAUUCGUUUCUGAUGCGCCACAACAGGAACUCCAAAAUAGUUUUAUUCUUACCCAACCUCUUCAAGGUAGUAGGAAAAGAUGAUACACUAUCCAGCUAAAUUGAUCGAAGCUGUGGAUUAUGUUCCUUACAGAGGAAGAUUUCCUUCCUGGAACAAAACCAGAAGCAGCCUGGCUUUCCCAAGGAUUUUGGUGUGCCCAUCUCUCCACAUCUCCUUAGGAUGCCCUUCAGGCCUUUGAUCACUCCAGGUGUGAGGGAGCUGCAGCUGAGCCUCCAGGACACAUUAAAAAGAAUCUCUUUCCAAGAGUUGGGAUCCAGUUCUCUGGCAGGCAGACUGAAUCUAUCUACAAUAUCAUACAAUGCGUAUUUACCACUUACACUAUCUUUCUUCAGACAAGGUGUUUGUUGUUUGUUUUUUGUCUUUUUAGGGCCGUACCUUCGGCACAUGGAGGUUCCCAGGCUAGGGGUUGAAUCAGAGCUAUUGCCACUGCCUACACCACAACCACAGCAACUCCAGAUAUAAGCCUCGUCUGCAACCUACACCACAGCUCACAGCAAUGCCAGAUCCUUAACCCACGGAACAAGGCCACGGGUUGAACCUGCGUUCUCAUGAAUGCUAGUUAGAUUCCUUUCCACUGAGCCACAACAGGAACACCUGUUAUUUGUUUAUAAAAGUGGUUCUGUAGUAAAUGUUUUCAUUAAAUUUUAUUUAUAGUCUGCUUACCCACUGAUGUAGCUAAUUACAUGGGGCCAGUGGAAUUCCCAGACUGUCAGCUGAUCAAGGGGGCCCUGUAGAAAACCCUAGAUAAAUGAGAAUAUUCCUCUCCUGUAAGCCAUGCUUUAGGAAAAAGUGUUCAUCUAAAACAGGGAUCUUGGAGUUCCCAUUGUGAGGGAUUGCUCCCAUUGGUAGCAAACCCAACUAGUAUCCACAAGGAUGUGGGUUCAAUCCCUGGCCUUGUCAGUGGGUUAAGGAUCCUGCAUUGCUGUGGCUAUAGCAUAGGUCAGCAGCUGUGGUUCGUAUUCAUCCCCUAAUCCCCUAGCCUGGGAACUUCCAUAUGCUGCAGGUGCGGCCCUAAGUACCAAAAAAUAAAAAUAAAAAA